This is an RNA transcript of Peromyscus leucopus (white-footed mouse), 5315 nucleotides long. It is a transcript of the gene named pleckstrin homology and RUN domain containing M1, with no coding region annotated. The record is from RefSeq and is a predicted model, not a curated record. The transcript has 13 exons. Lineage: Eukaryota; Metazoa; Chordata; Mammalia; Rodentia; Cricetidae.
AGACGCCGCGCGCCGCUUCCUGUUGUCAGUGCCUCAAGAGCCGCAGCUUCUGCUGCAAGCCGUGGGGUCGCCUCGCCGGGAGCGCCGCCACCUGCUCCUGUUCCCUGUGGUGUACAUGAAGUAAGAGGACUAUACUAGCUAAAACUGGGACAAAUCCUUCCCAUGUUGAUCAUUUAAGAAAGGACAGUUCUGAAACAUGGGCAUCAUGGAGAAGACCUGGGCUCGGCUGAUUGGAGCUGUAGAUCUAUCUGGUGUCAUGUGAGUCUCCUUGAGCGCUGCUGCCUGAGUGGAAAUGCUCGAAGUGGAGAAUGGGCUGGACCCUAGGGCUGCCAUCCAGGUCAUCAAGAAGAGGCUGGUGGGAUCUGUGAAGGCUCUGCAGAAGCAGUAUGUAUCUCUGGACACAGUGGUCACCAGUGAAGAUGGAGAUGCCAACACCAUGUGCAGUGCCCUGGAGGCUGUGUUUAUCCAUGGCUUGCAUGGCAAGCACAUCCGUGCUGAGGCCGGAGGGAAAAGGAAGAAGCACACUCAUCAGAAGCCUCUGCCUCAGCCUGUUUUCUGGCCCCUUCUGAAGGCUGUCACCCACAAACACAUCAUCUCAGAGUUGGAACACCUGGUCUUCAUCAAUACAGAUGUAGGCCGCUGCCGGGCCUGGCUGCGGCUGGCCCUCAAUGAUGGUCUGAUGGAGUGCUAUCUGAAAUUGCUCCUGCAGGAACCCGCAAGGUUGUGCGAGUACUAUCAGCCCACAGCCCUGCUGCGAGAUGCCGAAGAGGGCGAGUUCCUACUGAGCUUCCUGCAAGGACUGACAUCCUUGUCCUUUGAACUCUCCUACAAGUCAGCCAUCUUAAAUGAAUGGACACUCACCCCACUGUCUCUCUCUGGGCUUUGUCCCCUCUCUGAACUUGACCCUCUCACUACCUCUGGGGCGGAAUUACAGCGGAAGGAGUCUCUGGAUUCAAUCUCUCAUUCCUCAGGCUCUGAGGACAUCGAAGUCCAACACUCUGGCCAUAAGAUCCGCAGGAACAGGAAACUCACUGCCUCUUCCCUCAGCCUGGACACAGCCAGCUCAUCCCAGCUAUCCUGCAGCCUAAACUCUGAUAGCUGCCUGCUGCAGGAGAAUGGCUCCAAGAGUCCAGACCAUUCUGAGGAACCCAUGUCCUGCGACUCAGAUCUGGGCCCGGCAAAUGCUGAUGACUCUGACAGGUCUCUGCAAGAGGUGUUGUCAGAAUUCAGCAAAGCCCAGGUAAACUCUGUGCCAAGCAGCGGACCAAGCCAAGAGACAGAGAGCUCCACGCUCCAGACCCCCCUCUCCCUCCACAGCCUAGCUACCAGCACACAUCUGCACUUUGAGGAGCCUGCAGAGCUCCUUCCUGCCCACGCAUCCUCUGGGACCCCAAGUGAUGGCCACAAGCAUCAGCUGCUUCCCCAGGAGACCCCAGACGUGCAGCAGCUGGGCACUGCCCAAGCUUCCCCUGCAGGGAGCACUUCAGACCAGCAGCCUUCCAGCCCUGUGGGUGGAACAGCUGGCCAAGGGAGCGGUCAGCCAAAGGCCCUGGAGUAUGGCAGAGUUGGACCGAAGCUUGUGGUUUCCUCUCCUACCAGUCCGAAAAACAAGAGCUGGAUUUCUGAAGAUGACUUCUGCCGACCUCCCCAGGAGCAUGCUCCCAAGAGUGCUUCUGAUCUCUUCACAUCUCCUUUGCAAGGGACUCCAGAGUCAAGGCCUGCUCUCCAUAGGUGUUUUUCUCAAGGACCAAGAAAGAGCUGUUCCCUGGGGGCAUUAGACAAAGCGUGUGUGCCUUCACCAGGCUGGAGGAAUUCCAGAGCAGCCCCAGCAGCCCUGCUGGCACAAGAUCAUAAAAAUUUCUGCGUGGUGCAUCGGAGGCAGAUGGGCCUGUCUAACCCGUUCCGGGGCCUCUUGAAGCUGGGCACAGUAGCCCGGCGAGGCGCCAUGGGCAUCUGGAAGGAGUUCUUUUGUGAGCUGUCCCCUCUGGAGCUCCGCCUCUACCUGAGUGAUGAGGAGCGCACCUGUGUGGAGAGCUGCUCCUUGCUGCGAUGCGAGGCCGUGGGGCCAGCCCACAGUGAUGGACGGUUUGAGUUGGUCUUCUCGGGCAAGAAGCUGCCACUGCGUGCCUCCUCCCAGGACGAGGCCGAAGACUGGCUUGACCGUGUGCGGGAGGCUCUGCAGAAGGUGCGUCCUCAGCAGGAGGAUGAGUGGGUGAAUGUCCAGUACCCAGACCUACCUGAGGAUGACCUAGAGGCUCCACCAGACAGCCUCCCCCCUCACUCAGCCCUGCUCCCAGAGCCUGCAGGUGGCCAGAGCAUGCAGCUGGACUGGACAUCUGCCCAGGUUCCAGAGCCAGAUGCUAUCAAAGAGUCCCUUUUGUACCUGUAUACAGACCGGACCUGGGUCCCCUACAUUUUUUCCCUGUCCUUGGAGUCUCUAAAAUGUUUCCGUGUAAGAAAUAACGAGAAGAUGCUAAGUGACAGUCAUGGAGUGGAGACCAUCCGAGACAUCUUGCCAGACGCCAGCCUUGGGGGCCCAGCCUUCUUCAAAAUCAUCACGGCCAAAGCCGUCCUGAAACUGCAGGCCAAGAACACUGAGGAGGCCGCCCUGUGGAGAGACCUGGUCCGAAAGGUGCUGGCAUCUUACUUGGAGUCAGCUGAGGAGGCUGUGACCCUCGGGGGAAGUCUGGAUGAAAAUUGUCAGGAGGUGCUGAAGUUUGCCACCCGGGAGAAUGGCUUCCUGCUCCAGUACCUCGUGGCCAUCCCCACUGAGAAGGGCCUUGACUCCCAGGGCUGCUUCUGCGCAGGCUGCUCCCGUCAGAUUGGCUUCUCCUUUGUACGACCCAAGCUCUGUGCCUUCUCUGGCCUGUAUUACUGUGACUUCUGCCACCAAGACGAUGCCUCAGUGAUUCCAGCCAGGAUCAUCCACAACUGGGACCUCACCAAGCGCCCGGUCUGCCGGCAGGCCCUGAAGUUCCUGGCACAGAUCCGGGCCCAGCCCCUUAUCAACCUGCAGCUGGUGAACGCCUCUCUGUAUGAGCAUGUGGAGCGCAUGCACCUCAUUGGCAGGAGCCGGGAACAGCUGAAGCUUCUGGGGGACUACCUGGGCCUGUGCAGAAGUGGUGCCCUGAAGGAGUUGAAGCAAAAGGCUAAGCCACAGGAAUUAUCUCUUGGAGUCUCCUCACAAAUUCAGUGUUGCUGACCUCCAGCAGAUUGCAGAGGGGGUGUAUGAAGGAUUCCUCAAAGCCCUGAUUGAGUUCGCCUCCCAGCACGUCUACCACUGUGACCUGUGCACCCAGCGAGGCUUCAUCUGCCAGAUCUGCCACCACCACGACAUCAUCUUUCCCUUUGAGUUUGACACCACAGUCAGGUGUGCUGAAUGCAGAACUGUCUUCCAUCAGAGCUGCCAGGCUGUGGUGAGGAAGGGCUGUCCCCGCUGUGCCCGCCGGCGCAAGUACCAGGAACAGAAGAACAUGGUCAGCUAACCCUGCUGUCCUGACCUUCCAAGGCCAUCCAGCUGGGUUUGUCGUCAGCCUAGGCUUCUCUGUCUCCCUGUAAGGAAGACUCUCAGGUGUGCCCAGAGCUCUCACCUCCAGAGAAGGCCCAGGAAGUCCCAGUGAUGCCCCCUGGCCCCUCAGUACCCUUCUGCUCCAGGAGGUGGGCACCCACCAGGUGCCUCUGCCCAGGGCCUGUCAUCAGGCCUGGCUUAUCUAGCUGUCAUGCACCUCCAUUAGGGCUGUUCAUACACUGUGGAAUGAGGCUUGGUGAGUACUUUCAACUCACAUUCCUGAAGAAAAGGUCUAGUUUUUUAAGGUGGGUUCCCCCUCCCCUUCAUAUUUAAACAGAAAAUAUUUUUUUAUUCUUGACCCUACCCAAGUCACCUAAGAAAUGCAACCCUUCACCCAAGCAGAUGGGCAAGAGCAGCCCCAACCCAGAGACAGGCAUGGGACUGGGUGGACAGGCCUCUGUGGACUGGGUGGACAGGCCUCUGGACUGGGUGCCUUUCCUUUGCCCUUUUUGGUACUUUCUACCAAGAGUGCAAGUGUUAUGUGCCAAUGGCCCAUCGUUGCAGGGCUACUCAGUUUCAGCGUCCACCUUCCCUCCCCUCUUCGUGCUCUCACCUGGAAAGUGUCCCGUCCUCUGGCAGACCCCCUGGCUCCUUUCUGGCCUGGGAGCACAGCACAGCAGGAGCAGGGGGAUGACCAACACCAGCACUGUCAGCACUUUGAGCCUUCCUUGUUCAGGAAGACCAUGAUCUUGCCCACCUCAUCCCCAUGACCUCCUUAGUCCUGAAUGUGGUAGUGCCAACCCCUGCCAGGGUAGAAUAGGCUAGACACCAGAGAGGCUCCAAGGUCCAACUGUGGAGAAUAGGUGCCAUCCUUUGGCUACAGAGAGAGAGAGGGAUGUGCUCAGAAGCUGCCCUGCAGAAACUUCAUCAGCCCUAGUCUCACAAAGCCAUGAGAUCAUAAAGCUUCAGUUUGCACCCAGUAGGACACUAGUGAGCUUCCUAGGAGCAGGGUUGCCCCUAAGAGGCUCUUGGGGCUGGUAUGGCAUCACCGAUUGUUCUUGAGGUGAUGUUCAUAGCCUUGAGGCAUUUUGGGGAAUAGGUAUGUACUGUGCUAUCCCCACCUCUCCUGGACCCCGCAACCCUUCUGGCUAUCCCAGAGUACUCAACUUAAAGGUGGAGGCUGCAGGUGGAAUGGAGGGCCUCCCUGGAAAUGUGCCUGUCAUGUCUAGAGCAGAGGUUUCCCACCCUCCCUGAGGUGAAUGAGCUGAGUCACCUCCUGAAGCUUGAAGAAUUGUGCAAUAGCAGAGGAGGCUGUAGGCAGGGAGCAGAGGCUGCCACACAGUUCCUAAGUCCCUAUUAUGGAAGACGGCGCUCUCCAGAGGUUGGGAAACCAAAGCUUCCAGAACCACGCAGUGUAUCCAUAUCUGCACUCCACAGCCAGCAUUAACAGUUCCCCCAAAAUGACAGAGCCUCUUUGCUUUGGAUCCUGAAUGGGCAGGAGUCUGUCUCCUUGGGCUUGUUACAUGAGAGUAUUCCAGAACCUGCCUGAGGCAGCUGGAUCCCUUCCACUGCCUGGACUGUACACGUUAGAGCUGGCCCUCACCCUUUCCUAAGCUGCUGAUGUGCUCAAAUGAGUCACUUACCCCGCCACCAGAAGAGCUCACGUGAACCUCGGCGGUGCCCACACUAUUUAAGAGAUGUGAUUUUAUGCAAUAUUCUGACAAGUGGGCCUUGGCAAUGUAGAGAAGGCACUGCUUCUGUGCUGUUCGGCUGAUUUUGCAGUAAAGAGCUGGUCUUUCUAACCAAA